RNAcentral lists this ribosomal RNA (739 nucleotides) under uncultured bacterium. RNAcentral describes it as "bacterial SSU rRNA". It matches the Rfam family "Bacterial small subunit ribosomal RNA", at positions 60 to 799 of the family's 1533-position model. The record is from RNAcentral.
AGUCGAGCGAAGCACUUUUGCGGAUUUCUUCGGAUUGAAGCAACUGUGACUGAGCGGCGGACGGGUGAGUAACGCGUGGGUAACCUGCCUCAUACAGGGGGAUAACAGUUGGAAACGACUGCUAAUACCGCAUAAGCGCACAGUACCGCAUGGUACGGUGUGAAAAACUCCGGUGGUAUGAGAUGGACCCGCGUCUGAUUAGGUAGUUGGUGGGGUAACGGCCUACCAAGCCGACGAUCAGUAGCCGACCUGAGAGGGUGACCGGCCACAUUGGGACUGAGACACGGCCCAAACUCCUACGGGAGGCAGCAGUGGGGAAUAUUGCACAAUGGGGGAAACCCUGAUGCAGCGACGCCGCGUGAGCGAUGAAGUAUUUCGGUAUGUAAAGCUCUAUCAGCAGGGAAGAAAAUGACGGUACCUGACUAAGAAGCCCCGGCUAACUACGUGCCAGCAGCCGCGGUAAUACGUAGGGGGCAAGCGUUAUCCGGAUUUACUGGGUGUAAAGGGAGCGUAGACGGCAUGGCAAGCCAGAUGUGAAAGCCCGGGGCUCAACCCCGGGACUGCAUUUGGAACUGUCAGGCUAGAGUGUCGGAGAGGAAAGCGGAAUUCCUAGUGUAGCGGUGAAAUGCGUAGAUAUUAGGAGGAACACCAGUGGCGAAGGCGGCUUUCUGGACGAUGACUGACGUUGAGGCUCGAAAGCGUGGGGAGCAAACAGGAUUAGAUACCCUGGUAGUCCACG